GGCCGUCACUACGAUUGAUGACUCGGUGAAAAUUGGGACUGUGAGUCCGUUUGCUUUAUUGCGAGUGGAUUUAUGGGAACUUUUUUUAACCUCGCCAUUUAGAGGAAGGUGAAGUCGUAACAAGGUUUCCGUAGGUGAACCUGCGGAAGGAUCAUUA
This 157-nucleotide ribosomal RNA is filed under the name Phytopythium vexans. RNAcentral describes it as "partial 18S ribosomal RNA". It matches the Rfam family "Eukaryotic small subunit ribosomal RNA", at positions 1671 to 1831 of the family's 1831-position model. Lineage: Eukaryota; Oomycota; Peronosporomycetes; Pythiales; Pythiaceae. The record is from RNAcentral.